UUGGGGGCACAUAUGGACGCUGUAUGGCCUCUCCUCCCAUCCGAUCUGAGUGUAACUGGGCCUUUGACUUUGCUCAUGUUAGGGCGAGGUUCUCCUCCUGUCCCUAACAUGGCUGUGGGGGCACAUGUGGGUGCUGUUUGGCCUCUCCCCCCAUCCGGUCUAAGAGGAACCGGGCCUUCGACUUUGCUCAUGUUAGGGUGAGGUUCUCCUCCUGUCCCUAACAU
Molecule: long non-coding RNA, 224 nt
Filed under: Elaeis guineensis (African oil palm)
Lineage: Eukaryota; Viridiplantae; Streptophyta; Magnoliopsida; Arecales; Arecaceae
Description: long non-coding RNA (EGUI_LNC056357)
Source: RNAcentral